RNAcentral lists this unclassified non-coding RNA (200 nucleotides) under Clitopilus sp. Its description in RNAcentral is "partial internal transcribed spacer 2". The record is from RNAcentral. Lineage: Eukaryota; Fungi; Basidiomycota; Agaricomycetes; Agaricales; Entolomataceae.
UUAAGUUCAGCGGGUAAUCCUACCUGAUUUGAGGUCAGAUUGUCAAUAGUUGUCUAUGAAGACGGUUAGAAGCUAAGCCUCGGUAUGUCACUCUUCAAUGGCGUAGAUAAUUAUCACACCAAUGAGUAGCGGCAAAAGCUCUGCUAAUACGUUUAAGGAUAGCCGACUCGUAUGAGCCCGCAGAUCCCAUGAUCCAAGCU